AACGAACGCUGGCGGCAUGCCUAACACAUGCAAGUCGAACGAAGACUCCGGACUUAGUGGCGCACGGGUGCGUAACGCGUGGGAAUCUGCCCUUGGGUACGGAAUAACUCAGAGAAAUUUGUGCUAAUACCGUAUAAUGUCUUCGGACCAAAGAUUUAUCGCCCAAGGAUGAGCCCGCGUAAGAUUAGCUAGUUGGUGGGGUAAAAGCCUACCAAGGCGACGAUCUUUAGCUGGUCUGAGAGGAUGAUCAGCCACACUGGGACUGAGACACGGCCCAGACUCCUACGGGAGGCAGCAGUGGGGAAUAUUGGACAAUGGGCGAAAGCCUGAUCCAGCUAUGCCGCGUGAGUUAUGAAGUCCCUAGGGUUGUAAAGCUCUUUUACCAGUGAUGAUAAUGACAGUACCUGGAGAAUAAGCUCCGGCUAACUCCGUG
RNAcentral lists this ribosomal RNA (433 nucleotides) under uncultured bacterium. RNAcentral describes it as "partial 16S ribosomal RNA". It matches the Rfam family "Bacterial small subunit ribosomal RNA", at positions 29 to 507 of the family's 1533-position model. The record is from RNAcentral.